UAAAGCCAAAGACCUCCUAAGCCGUCAUACGCUCACGGAGGCACGAAGCCCAAACACGAAAGUAGCUUUACCAAACAUGCCCGACUCCACGAAAGCUGGGAAACAAACUGGGAUUAGAUACCCCACUAUGCCCAGCCCUAAACUUAGAUGAAAUUUUACAAAAUCAUCCGCCAGGGGACUACAAGCACAGCUUAAAACCCAAAGGACUUGGCGGUGCCUCAGAUCCACCUAGAGGAGCCUGUUCUAGAACCGAUAAUCCCCGUUAAACCUCACCACCCCUUGUUUUUCCCGCCUAUAUACCGCCGUCGCCAGCUUACCCUAUGAAGGUUUAACAGUAAGCAAAAUGGGUUCAACCCAAAACGUCAGGUCGAGGUGUAGCGCAUGGGGUGGGAAGAAAUGGGCUACAUUUUCUACCACAGAAUAUUACGAAUGGUGUCCUGAAAUAUAAUACCUGAAGGAGGAUUUAGUAGUAAAAAGCAAAUAGAGUGUCUUUUUGAAUUAGGCUCUGAGGCGCGCACACACCGCCCGUCACUC
Molecule: ribosomal RNA, 534 nt
Filed under: Hypostomus alatus
Lineage: Eukaryota; Metazoa; Chordata; Actinopteri; Siluriformes; Loricariidae
Description: partial small subunit ribosomal RNA
Rfam family: Bacterial small subunit ribosomal RNA
Source: RNAcentral